AUUGAACGCUGGCGGCAGGCCUAACACAUGCAAGUCGAGCGGUAGAGAGAAGCUUGCUUCUCUUGAGAGCGGCGGACGGGUGAGUAAUACCUAGGAAUCUGCCUGAUAGUGGGGGAUAACGUUCGGAAACGGACGCUAAUACCGCAUACGUCCUACGGGAGAAAGCAGGGGACCUUCGGGCCUUGCGCUAUCAGAUGAGCCUAGGUCGGAUUAGCUAGUUGGUGAGGUAAUGGCUCACCAAGGCUACGAUCCGUAACUGGUCUGAGAGGAUGAUCAGUCACACUGGAACUGAGACACGGUCCAGACUCCUACGGGAGGCAGCAGUGGGGAAUAUUGGACAAUGGGCGAAAGCCUGAUCCAGCCAUGCCGCGUGUGUGAAGAAGGUCUUCGGAUUGUAAAGCACUUUAAGUUGGGAGGAAGGGCAUUAACCUAAUACGUUGGUGUCUUGACGUUACCGACAGAAUAAGCACCGGCUAACUCUGUGCCAGCAGCCGCGGUAAUACAGAGGGUGCAAGCGUUAAUCGGAAUUACCGGGCGUAAAGCGCGCGUAGGUGGUUUGUUAAGUUGAAUGUGAAAUCCCCGGGCUCAACCUGGGAACUGCAUCCAAAACUGGCAAGCUAGAGUAUGGUAGAGGGUAGUGGAAUUUCCUGUGUAGCGGUGAAAUGCGUAGAUAUAGGAAGGAACACCAGUGGCGAAGGCGACUACCUGGACUGAUACUGACACUGAGGUGCGAAAGCGUGGGGAGCAAACAGG
This 753-nucleotide ribosomal RNA is filed under the name uncultured bacterium. RNAcentral describes it as "bacterial SSU rRNA". It matches the Rfam family "Bacterial small subunit ribosomal RNA", at positions 28 to 776 of the family's 1533-position model. The record is from RNAcentral.